AAAUCAGAAUAGAGUAUAAAUACAAAUAGACCCAAAACCAUAAAUAUUCCCUUCCUUUGUUAGAAGUAGAUAGGUACACAUAAGAUUUGGAAAACAACUGACCUGUGCGUCGGUACUAGCAUAAGUAUAAAUAGAAGUAUUUUGAAAAAGAAUAAUCAGAAUAAAUUGCCCACUGAGCGCAGAGCACCGCGUUUAAUCAUUUAUUUAAAUAGCGCCCAACGAGUUUUUGUAAGUCUGUUCCCAAAAUCCUUAUGUCAGGAUAAUAGAACAGCACCCUAAAAAAAAAAAAAAAAAUUAAGUGAAGUCGAAAAAUCGUGCAUCGGGAAGAAAAAAGAGGUCAACAAUCCCACGCCAAGGACAAUCGGGAAGAAAAAAGAAGUCAACAAUUCCACGCCAGGACAACGGGACAUGAAGCUGUACUUAAUGUAAGCAUACCUAUUAUCUAAGAGAAUAAA
Molecule: long non-coding RNA, 455 nt
Organism: Bactrocera dorsalis (oriental fruit fly)
Lineage: Eukaryota; Metazoa; Arthropoda; Insecta; Diptera; Tephritidae
Exons: 3
Source: RefSeq, a predicted model, not a curated record